RNAcentral lists this transfer RNA (240 nucleotides) under Candidatus Aenigmatarchaeota archaeon. RNAcentral's name for it is "tRNA-Ala". The record is from RNAcentral. Lineage: Archaea; Nanobdellati; Candidatus Aenigmatarchaeota.
GGGCCAGUGGUCUAACCUGGAAUGACACCUCCUUGGCGUGGAGGAGGCUCUGGGUUCAAACCCGAGAGAAGGGAAAGCGAAACGACGCAUCGAAAAAUAGACGAGCGAAGCUCGUCAAGUAACGAUGCAUCAUUCGGCUCCCCUUCUCUAAGGGAACGACAAAUUGACGAGCAGGGCUCGUCAGGUCGUUAUCCCUUAUGGAAAAUAUUAUCUCCAACGGUGAAAAUCCCAGCUGGUCCA